CAUGUAGGCGGGACAGUAAGUCAGUGGUGCAAUGUAACGGCUCAACCGUUAACCUGCCAUUGAAACUACUGUUCUUGAGUUCAGGAGAGGGAAACGGAAUUCCAGGUGUAGCGGUGGAAUGCAUAGAUAUCUGGAAGAACACCGAAUGCGAAGGCAGUUUCCUGGCCAUGGACUGACGCUGAUGUGCGAAAGCGUGGGUAGCAAACAGGAUUAGAUACCCUGGUAGUC
RNAcentral lists this ribosomal RNA (228 nucleotides) under uncultured bacterium. RNAcentral's name for it is "partial 16S ribosomal RNA". It matches the Rfam family "Bacterial small subunit ribosomal RNA", at positions 568 to 795 of the family's 1533-position model. The record is from RNAcentral.